Molecule: long non-coding RNA, 647 nt
Organism: Saccostrea cuccullata (small rock oyster)
Lineage: Eukaryota; Metazoa; Mollusca; Bivalvia; Ostreida; Ostreidae
Exons: 3
Source: RefSeq, a predicted model, not a curated record
UUUACAGGCUUUCAGUGAUGUAACAUCUCAUUAUCCUAGAGGAAUGAUGGACAUGUUACGGGAAUUGGAGCUUCCACAUAGAGGGCGCCACCAUAGCGGGAUAGAUGAUUGUAGGAACAUAGCAGCCAUUGCUGUGGAGCUGAUCAAAAGAGGUCAUGUGUUUAAGCAGACAUCUUUUCCUUGACCUCAGACAGAGCGUCAUCUGCUGGAUCAGAGGUCAAAGUCUAAAGAAAUAACUGCACAUGCUCAGAAUCUAGACUGUCUAGAUAAACAUCAGUGGCAGGAGAUUUGAAGUUCUUACUCUGUGAUAAACUAUAGCUGGGAUCUUAAUGUUCUGUCAGGAGAGCUUCUACAAACUGAGGCCACUGGCCGCACUCUCUGAGUGAAAACCAUUCACUAAGUUUAGAAUUUCUGUGAUAACUUUUAAGUUUCAUGAGUUUUUGUUUUGUAAACUGAAAAUGUUCAAUAUAGUCUGAAUAAUUUUUCAAGAUGUGUUGUACUCUGUUUUCCAUUGGAAGGUUAAUACGAUAAUUCUGUGCUUUCCUCAUCUCUGAGUGUAAAUUCGUGGUACAUGUACAUUGCCUAUACGAACACUCUCUGACUCUAACCACACUACUUUCUCCGGAGUAAAGGAUCGGAGCUUUUCU